UACCGAGGGUGCAAGCGUUAAUCGGAAUUACUGGGCGUAAAGCGUGCGUAGACGGUUAUUUAAGUCGGGUGUGAAAUCCCCGGGCUCAACCUGGGAAUUGCAUUCGAUACUGGAUAGCUAGAGUUCGGCAGAGGGAAGUGGAAUUUCCGGUGUAGCGGUGAAAUGCGUAGAUAUCGGAAGGAACAUCAGUGGCGAAAGCGACUUCCUGGACCAGAACUGACGUUCAGGCACGAAAGCGUGGGGAGCAAACAGG
Molecule: ribosomal RNA, 253 nt
Filed under: uncultured bacterium
Lineage: Bacteria
Description: partial 16S ribosomal RNA
Rfam family: Bacterial small subunit ribosomal RNA
Source: RNAcentral